GGUGAGUAACACGUGGGUGAUCUGCCUUGCACUUCGGGAUAAGCCUGGGAAACUGGGUCUAAUACCGGAUAUGACCCUGGAGGUUCUGGGGUGGAAAGAUUUAUCGGUGCGAGAUGGGCCCGCGGCCUAUCAGCUUGUUGGUGAGGUAACGGCUCACCAAGGCGACGACGGGUAGCCGACCUGAGAGGGUGACCGGCCACACUGGGACUGAGACACGGCCCAGACUCCUACGGGAGGCAGCAGUGGGGAAUAUUGCACAAUGGGCGCAAGCCUGAUGCAGCGACGCCGCGUGCGGGAUGACGGCCUUCGGGUUGUAAACCGCUUUUGACAGGGACGAAGCGCAAGUGACUGUACCUGUAGAAUAAGGACCGGCCAACUACGUGCCAGCAGCCGCGGUAAUACGUAGGGUCCGAGCGUUGUCCGGAAUUACUGGGCGUAAAGAGCUUGUAGGCGGUUCGUCGCGUCGUUUGUGAAAACUUGGGGCUCAACCUUAAGCUUGCAGGCGAUACGGGCGGACUAGAGUACUUCAGGGGAGACUGGAAUUCCGAGUGUAGAGGUGAAAUUCGUAGAUAUUGGGAGGAACACCGGUGGCGAAAGCGGUUCUCUGGAUCGAUACUGACACUAAGACGCGAAAGCGUGGGGAUCAAACAGGAUUAGAUACCCUGGUAGUCCACGCCGUAAACGAUGGAUAUUAGUUGUUGCGAGUUUAACCCUCGCAGUGACGAAGCUACGCAUUAAAUAUCCCGCCUGGGAAGUACGGCCGCAAGGUUAAAACUCAAAGGAAUUGACGGGGGCCCGCACAAGCGGUGGAGCAUGUGGUUCAAUUCGACGGCAACCUUACCUAGGCUUGACAUCUGGAGAAUCCCUCCAAAAGAGGGAGUGCUCGCAAGAGAGCUCCAGACAGGGCUGCAUGGUGUCGUCAGCUCGUGUCGUGGAUGUUGGGUUAAGUCCCAACGAGCACCCUAUCUUUAGUUGCAUCAUUAAUUGGGACUCUAAAGACUG
This 1002-nucleotide ribosomal RNA is filed under the name uncultured Nocardia sp. RNAcentral's name for it is "bacterial SSU rRNA". It matches the Rfam family "Bacterial small subunit ribosomal RNA", at positions 105 to 1149 of the family's 1533-position model. The record is from RNAcentral. Lineage: Bacteria; Bacillati; Actinomycetota; Actinomycetes; Mycobacteriales; Nocardiaceae.